RNAcentral lists this long non-coding RNA (2121 nucleotides) under Panax ginseng (ginseng). RNAcentral describes it as "long non-coding RNA (PGIN_LNC009551)". Lineage: Eukaryota; Viridiplantae; Streptophyta; Magnoliopsida; Apiales; Araliaceae. The record is from RNAcentral.
UUUUUUAAAGCUCAACUCUCGUGUUUUUGUAAGCCUUCUCUCUCCUCGAUAGAAACAUUAGAAGUCCAGCCAAACCACGCCCCAAAUCGAUACAAGCCCUAGAAUUCCUCCAGCCCCAAAUCGAUUCUUCUUCUGAACGAAGGGAGCAGAAGAACCACAGCUAGCCCCAAAUCGAUUCUUCUCAAUCGGUAAAUCCUUUCUUUCUUUGUCUAAUUUCGUUUUUUGUUGGGUUUUGUUUGAAAUUUUCUAUUUCGUCUUUGUCUUUUUCCAUUUGCUGUAACAACCGAAGGAGGGGAAUUUAUAUGCUCUCUUAUUAAUUGCUUCUCUCUGAUUAUCCUUCCGCAUUCGUGCCUCGAUGCUGCCUUCAUGAUGGGGGUUAUAUGAAUUUUGUUGUUUACUAUUUUUAUUUCCGGAAAUAGUGAGCUUUUUAACCACUUAAUGUAACAAGAUUUUGAUACUGUGUUCUUUAUUCUUUAGUAAAGAUGGCUCUAAAUCUCUAAUUGAAUUGACAGGUGCAGAGGGACUUAUUUGUCAACAUUUAACCAAAUAAUAUCAAAGUAUGUUAUAAAUGUUUUUUUGUCUCAAGGGACCUGCGUCACAAAGAAGGAUGAGAACUUGUGGUACAACCGAAGGAGGGGAAUAUGAAUCUGCUUGUGGUACAAAUACAAUCACAAAGGGGCUUUACAUAAAUAAAUCAUGAGAAAACUUGAGAAAGCUGGGCACUCUGUUUCCAAAAUCAGAUACCCAUUAACAAUACAAUUACAAUGGUUUGCAAAUAAAAAUAUUCUUGGUUUUACUAGUCACCUUCCUUUUUCUUUUUUCAUCAAUGUUGGUUCAUUUUUAUUCGUUCUGAAGUUAUAUUACAAAUACCCAUUAUUAAACUCUGUUUUUCAUGGCUAUUUUCUUCUUUUAGGCCUUAACAUUGUUGAUUUGUUAUAUGAAAAUGAAUACUCAUGAUGAACCUAGUGUCAAGUUAUCAUUUGUAAAUUAUCCUGAUUGCGUCAAGUUUUAUGUUUGUCUAGGUGUAAAUAUAAUGGAUGACAUGGAGCAUGAAAUAGGGAGUUACGGGGAUAAUGUAGAAAUGGAGCAUGACAUGGAGCAUGAAAUAGGGAGUUUGGAAAUAGAGAUUGAUGGAGAUGACUUGAAUGCAGAGGGGUUGAAUGUGGACAAUACUAAAACUUUUGUCUACUAUCCUCAAGUAGCCGAUGAGUUUACGCCUAAGGUAGGUCAAGAAUUUCAAAUAUUAGAUGAAAUGUAGAAUUUGAUUUUGUUUAAAUUGAUUGAUUUUGAACUUUUGUCUACUUCCUCAACUUUUGUUUAAAAUUGAUUUUGACUUUGCUAUUUUUUGAAAUGUAGAAUUAGAGCAUCAAAUGAUGAUGUUGCUCAGGAUACAAUUGCCAAAUAGAACUAAUGAUCAUGAGGUAUGUGAACUAAUAGAACUUGUGUUUUUCUUUUAUAUCAAUACCCAUUCAUGUUGACAUAGAGAUUCCAUUGACAGUACUAACAGGCUUGCUUCUCACUGCUUUAUAAUGACAGUACUAUUAGACUGCUUUUGUUAGUGUGGAUGAAAAUAUCAAUCAAAUCUUGCAGCAUAUCCAUCCUGCAACUCAAGACUAUUUUGAAAAGCUAGAUCAGAUGGUUACCAUGUGAAACUUUGAGGAAAAAAUGAAGGGAAUCCAAUUUCUUUAUGAGGAAAUCUAUAUCAAUAUUCAGUCAUGAGUUUCCUUGAUUGUGUUUUGGCAUAUAGCUUUAAUUUCUUAUCACCAAUUGUCUUAGUCUUAUAUCAAUAUUCAAUCAUUCUGUUUUUGCCUGAACAAAAGAAUGUAAUAGUUUAGUAGUAUUACAAAAGAAUGUAAUGGUUUAGUGGAAUUUGUGUUCAGGAACUUCAAUUUGCUGCUUUUACCCGUACAAAUUUUUACCUUUAAUUCAACUGGCAGGUUUCUUGUAUCUUUUGCUGGGAGUAUCUUACAUAUGAUGUUUGUGUUUCACCACUGUUUAAUUCAACUGACAGGUUUUUUAUAUGUUUUCCUGUCUCAUGAACCCGUGUGAUGGUUGUUAUUUUAAUAUACUAUUGUAAUUUUUCUGCAGGCAUCAUUGGGCUGCAGGGUUGAUUAGCUGUUU